Molecule: long non-coding RNA, 201 nt
Filed under: Musa acuminata (dwarf banana)
Lineage: Eukaryota; Viridiplantae; Streptophyta; Magnoliopsida; Zingiberales; Musaceae
Description: long non-coding RNA (MACU_LNC007682)
Source: RNAcentral
CCCCUCAAAUAUAUCCAUGAUUUUUAAAAAUUUCGUCACAGACCAAUCCAAGAUCCAAACUAACGUUUGAGGACACUGAAAAACAUUCAAUCAAAUUCACAUCCAUAAAACCUGUGCAUUUUAAAAUCAUAUAUCACAUCACUCGAUAAUUCACAUUUAUGGCAACCCAAGCCAACUUGACAAACAUGAACAACAUUUAUA